AACCUGCCUCAAAGAGGGGGACAACAGUUGGAAACGACUGCUAAUACCGCAUAAGCCCACGGCUCGGCAUCGAGCAGAGGGAAAAGGAGCAAUCCGCUUUGAGAUGGCCUCGCGUCCGAUUAGCUAGUUGGUGAGGUAACGGCCCACCAAGGCGACGAUCGGUAGCCGGACUGAGAGGUUGAACGGCCACAUUGGGACUGAGACACGGCCCAGACUCCUACGGGAGGCAGCAGUGGGGAAUAUUGCACAAUGGGGGAAACCCUGAUGCAGCGACGCCGCGUGGAGGAAGAAGGUCUUCGGAUUGUAAACUCCUGUUGUUGAGGAAGAUAAUGACGGUACUCAACAAGGAAGUGACGGCUAACUACGUGCCAGCAGCCGCGGUAAAACGUAGGUCACAAGCGUUGUCCGGAAUUACUGGGUGUAAAGGGAGCGCAGGCGGGAAGACAAGUUGGAAGUGAAAUCCAUGGGCUCGACCCAUGAACUGCUUUCAAAACUGUUUUUCUUGAGUAGUGCAGAGGUAGGCGGAAUUCCCGGUGUAGCGGUGGAAUGCGUAGAUAUCGGGAGGAACACCAGUGGCGAAGGCGGCCUACUGGGCACCAACUGACGCUGAGGCUCGAAAGUGUG
RNAcentral lists this ribosomal RNA (624 nucleotides) under uncultured bacterium. RNAcentral's name for it is "bacterial SSU rRNA". It matches the Rfam family "Bacterial small subunit ribosomal RNA", at positions 123 to 763 of the family's 1533-position model. The record is from RNAcentral.